AAGAGAUGGGAGCCUCACAUCUAUUACUGCAACCCACAAACAUUCCUCAGUCAUGUUUCCCAGGGAGGGGUAUUUUCAGUAGUACAUGGAAGCGAUAGUGGUAGAGACCCCCCCUCGCAUGCAAUUUCAAAACAAACACUGUAGAUGGAGGCAGAUGAGGAAAGAACGGUGGACAAGCUGCGAUCUGGAGACUAUUGACAAGAUUUAGACUGGAAAACCUUGCCACUGGGAGAAAUUUGCCAGGUUAGAACAUCCGAUUGGAAAAUAGGGGAAAUCUUGGAGUCAGAGAAAAGGCAAAAUUGUUUUAGCUGGAGAAGGAGACGAGUCUGUCCCACGGCAAGCACGGCAGUACUGACUCUCUGCAUAGCGACAGUUUGUGGGGAUUUAUGCCUGCCGGGCGGCAGGGAUGUAUUUGUAAAUGCAUAUUUAUAAGGCCUCCCAAAGAAGCUGGAAGCAGAGCCGUGUGACAUGAGAGGGAUCCUGCUCAGAAAGAGAUUGACUCCUGCACCCCUGGGUGGGGAGGGCCUCUGACGAUCACAGACACGAGACCCUCUGUUUUCCUAGGGAAGACCAAGGCCGCACUGCGCUUAGCAUCUCUUAGAAGCUCUCAGAGCCACCGCGUGUGUUGUUCCAAAGACAGCACACGAGGAAAUGGAAACCCACUUUUAAGAGAUGCCAUUUCACCAAGCUGGACGUGUGUUCCUUUUGUGUUCAUUCUCUUGAAGGAGUGGAAAUUAGCAGUCAAGGUGAAGGGCAGCAUUGGUUGCAGACAGAAACACAGGCUCUUGAACUCAGCGUUUCACCAGAGGAAAAUCCUAGACUGUGAAAACCCCUUUUUAAAGACAUCUAUACCUGCUAUUUAUAGGGCUUGGAAAAUUGGUUUGAAGUCAAAAGCAGUCAUAGCCAAGGCUUUAAAACUCUGCACGUGCAAAAUCAACUUACAAAGAUCUUUAAAAACAUGAGGUCAAAGGUUCAGGAACCUACACGUGAGUCUGUCAUCUCCAGUUUGUCUCACGCGCUUGAAGGAAACUAUGCAAAAUGACCACGAAACGUAGUUUUCAUGACAACUUUUACAGUCUGAUCCAAUUGAGCCUGCACUGUUUGGUUGAGAUAGAUUUCUAGAGUUUUGUCUGAUGAUUUCUACUGAUCCUUCUCCAUUAGAGGUUGUUACGAGACAAUGAGUGUAUCUCCCCAGGAUCUACAGCAGGUCCUUGCUUCAGGGUUUGUCUUAUCCAGAGGUGCCCGCUGUGAACAUGCUUCACAUGAAUUCCUUCCUAUGGAACUGAGAACAGGAACCGAUUCUCACCAGACACAGCUGCGGCAUCAGUGAGGCGGAGUUCACCCCAAACGUCUCCCACUUCUCGGGUUCUCCACCUGAACCUAGAUUCCGGUCAGUGGGGUUUCGUGUGAAAGCAAAGGGAAGCCGUGAUCCCUGUGGGGCGUUGACUCGUCUCUCCUGCUCGAUUGUCACUGUGCAACGCUAGAAACCUAGGCGAACGUGCCUUUGCCUUCCUGACAGCGGCAGAUGCUGUGAUUUGUCAGCGCACAUGUGCUAACGAGAGUGUCCCACGUUACAGAGACGCAAAAGAGCCUCCUGAGGGGUUUCUCUCAAGCUUUGCCCCCACCUUGAAAGGCCUGGAGCCGCAGGAAGAGACUGUUACCUUUGCUCCUUCACCCUGGGUAUGUUUUAGAGUCGGAGGCAAACCCCUCACCCGGUGUCGUCACGUGUAUAUCUGUGGAAGGGGAAUGACUCCGCAGAGCACACUUCCUCCCUUUUGAAGUGUUUCGGGGUGUUUUCUCUUGUUCCCUUCGGGCUUUUCCGGAUAUUACAGUGAUGCCGGCGAAUGUUUCCUGGAGCUCUUGGCUGUCAUUUCACAGAAGGAAAAACAAAUGGAGAGACCUUGGGGUGACCGUCUCUGUGUCCUGGACAGGGAAGUGAUCGUUCUGGAAGCUUGCCCUUCUGGUCCCGCAGACACCAGACCUGGCCGGGAGUGUUUCAUCUCAUCUCGUGACUCGUGAUGUGAACCAGACAGACCUCUCCUCCUGUCCUCCUUGCUUAUCCUCCCCUCGGCUACCUUUAUUUAUGGCUUUUUAUACCAGACAAUCGGGCUUCCCCGAUGGCUCAGCUGAUAAAGAAUCCGCCUGUACUGCGGGAGACCUGGGUUUGAUCCUUGGGUCGGGAAGAUCCCCUGGAGGAAGAAAUGGCAACCUACUCCAGUAUUCUUGUCUGGAGAAUCCCGUGGACCCAGGAGCCUGGCGGGCUGCAGCCCACGGGGCCACAAAGAAUUGGACACAACUGAGCAACUGAGCAAGCACCGCAUACCAGACAAUCAUUAGCCACAAUCUCCUUCCAGGAAAUGUACCUUAAAAGCAGAAAUGCUCACAUUCUCCUGACGUUACAUAUUUGGUUUCUCAAAGGAUUUCUUGAUGAAUAUCUCCUUUUAUAAAUUCAUUUUCUUAAC
Molecule: long non-coding RNA, 2462 nt
Organism: Dama dama (fallow deer)
Lineage: Eukaryota; Metazoa; Chordata; Mammalia; Artiodactyla; Cervidae
Exons: 3
Source: RefSeq, a predicted model, not a curated record